RNAcentral lists this long non-coding RNA (240 nucleotides) under Homo sapiens (human). RNAcentral describes it as "non-protein coding lnc-BORA-22:1". The record is from RNAcentral. Lineage: Eukaryota; Metazoa; Chordata; Mammalia; Primates; Hominidae.
GUUCCAGAUGGGCCAUCGCCACCAUCAGUAGGAGCUUGAAUUGGUCUGCUGGGUAAUGGACAGCACAGGGGUAACUGCCAUUGUCAUCCCAGUCAGCUUCCAGAUUUGGGAGUGGGGCCAUCUGAAAUAACUCACUUGUAGCCAAUCUGUCAAUCAUCUGCAGACACAUGAGCAAGCCAGGUCAGAUCAGCUGAACUUAGUCUAGACCAGAGUAACAGCAGAAUUACGAUCUAAAUAAAU